AUGAAAGAGUAGAUGCCCUACAAGCCAAUCGCAAUAUGUAUUGCGAAAGGUUUUUCUUUUGAUUUGUCCAAAUCAUGUACAUGACAUUUAAAUAUGAAUAAAGGCGUUAUGUUUUAUCAUAUGCUGUUGAUUAUAUUUAUGAUAAACUCCUUAGAUUAGGGCAAUAGUUUUAAGACUAUGAUGAGAUCAUACUAGUGAGACUUAAAAUCCUAAAAUCCUAAUCUUAAAUAUUCCCAGUCAUUGGUACAUUG
This 251-nucleotide long non-coding RNA is filed under the name Phoenix dactylifera (date palm). RNAcentral describes it as "long non-coding RNA (PDAC_LNC013485)". The record is from RNAcentral. Lineage: Eukaryota; Viridiplantae; Streptophyta; Magnoliopsida; Arecales; Arecaceae.